Molecule: long non-coding RNA, 667 nt
Organism: Triticum dicoccoides
Lineage: Eukaryota; Viridiplantae; Streptophyta; Magnoliopsida; Poales; Poaceae
Exons: 2
Source: RefSeq, a predicted model, not a curated record
UGGGGUGGUCGCGUCAUUGUGUUGGAGAGAGUUGUGAGGCUGACUCCUGCGUCGUGCUCUGCAAGAGUUCUGCGCCAUGCCCCAUGCCGUGUCUCGUCUACGGCAGCCAGAGCGGGCGGUGUGGGUCGCCACAACCCUCUCUUCUCCUUGCUCCUCCCUUCCUCGUCGACAUAGCCGUCGCGCUCCUACUCCGGUCCCCCCCGCAUCCCCAGGAGCUCUUCCGCCUCUCUGGACGAGAUCCACCGCCUACUGAGGCCUUUAUCCAGCCCAGCUCAUGAGGAAGCCGCGGGAGGAGGAGCUCAAUCGGGCGUCACCGACCAGAGAAGGAGGAGAGGCGCGGAUGCCAGCCAAGGAAGCGGAUUGGCUUGCCUCCGCCAUGUCAUGAGCGCCGCCGCCGCCUCUGCAUCCGCCUUGCUCUGCAUAGCACCAUGUGUGCGGCGGCGGGGACAGGCAACCACAGGCUGAUUUUGGGGAGCAAGCAUCAAGCAAUGGCCGAUGCCAUGGGAUUAUAGCAAGCAACCGUCGCUGAGUUCCUUUUUCUUGCAUAAAAUUUUUCUACUGGUUCCUCAAUGCUCUGUUCAUGACUUUCUUCUUGUUUUAUUAUUUUUUUACUUUCCAAUUUCGAUGUAAUGGAUAUUGAUUUUGGUAGUCCAGAUAUCCCCUUGUA